GACGAACGCUGGCGGCGUGCCUAAUACAUGCAAGUAGAACGCUGAAGAGAGGAGCUUGCUCUUCUUGGAUGAGUUGCGAACGGGUGAGUAACGCGUAGGUAACCUGCCUGGUAGCGGGGGAUAACUAUUGGAAACGAUAGCUAAUACCGCAUAAAAUUGAUUAUUGCAUGAUAAUUAAUUGAAAGAUGCAACUGCAUCACUACCAGAUGGACCUGCGUUGUAUUAGCUAGUUGGUGAGGUAACGGCUCACCAAGGCGACGAUACAUAGCCGACCUGAGAGGGUGAUCGGCCACACUGGGACUGAGACACGGCCCAGACUCCUUCGGGAGGCAGCAGUAGGGAAUCUUCGGCAAUGGGGGGAACCCUGACCGAGCAACGCCGCGUGAGUGAAGAAGGGUUUCGGAUCGUAAAGCUCUGUUGUAAGAGAAGAACGGGUGUGAGAGUGGAAAGUUCACACUGUGACGGUAUCUGACCAGAAAGGGACGGCUAACUACGUG
RNAcentral lists this ribosomal RNA (497 nucleotides) under uncultured bacterium. Its description in RNAcentral is "partial 16S ribosomal RNA". It matches the Rfam family "Bacterial small subunit ribosomal RNA", at positions 28 to 507 of the family's 1533-position model. The record is from RNAcentral.